This 384-nucleotide ribosomal RNA is filed under the name uncultured bacterium. Its description in RNAcentral is "bacterial SSU rRNA". It matches the Rfam family "Bacterial small subunit ribosomal RNA", at positions 29 to 417 of the family's 1533-position model. The record is from RNAcentral.
AGCGAACGUUUGCGGCGGGCCUAACACAUGCAAGUCGAACGCAUUAGCAAUAGUGAGUGGCGCACGGGUGCGUAACACGUGGGUAAUCAACCCUUCAGCCUGGGAUAACGACUCGAAAGGGUCGCUAAUACCGGAUACGGCGCGAGAGGCUUCGGCUUCUCACGAGAAAGCCACGCAAGGGGCACUGAAGGACGAGCCUGCGGCCCAUCAGCUAGUUGGUGAGGUAAGAGCUCACCAAGGCUAAGACGGGUAGCUGGUCUGAGAGGAUGAUCAGCCACACUGGAACUGAGACACGGUCCAGACUCCUACGAGAGGCAGCAGUGGGGAAUAUUGCGCAAUGGGCGAAAGCCUGACGCAGCCACGCCGCGUGAGCGAUGAAGGCCU